AGAGCUUCCCAAGGAUUAACCGCUCACAGGAAAUUAACUCACAGUGCAUCUUUGGAGUCACCUAACCAAAUAGUAGGAUCAGAUAAUCAAACUACUAAAAAUGUGGGAAACAACAACUACUGUGGUCAUGAUGAUUCUUGCAACACAUUUAAUUACAACUACCUCAACAACAAAUGAAACAACAACUACUACAAUUGAGGCAACAACAUCAACUGCAAAUGAAACAACAACUUCAAGAACAAUUGAGGCAACAACAUUAACCACAAAUGCACCAACAACAUUAACUGCAAAUGAGCCAACAUCCACAACAUUUGAGGGAACAGCAACAACCACAAUUG
This is a long non-coding RNA of Alosa sapidissima (American shad), 338 nucleotides long. RefSeq lists it as uncharacterized. The transcript is spliced from 3 exons. NCBI's taxonomy places the organism in Eukaryota, Metazoa, Chordata, Actinopteri, Clupeiformes, Clupeidae. The record is from RefSeq and is a predicted model, not a curated record.